AAAUGACUCUCGGCAACGGAUAUCUCGGCUCUCGUAUCGAUGAAGAACGUAGCGAAAUGCGAUACUUGGUGUGAAUUGCAGAAUCCCGUGAACCAUCGAGUCUUUGAACGCAAGUUGCGCCUGAAGCCUUAUGGCUAAGGGCACGUCUGCCUGGGCGUCACUCAU
Molecule: ribosomal RNA, 165 nt
Filed under: Orobanche gracilis
Lineage: Eukaryota; Viridiplantae; Streptophyta; Magnoliopsida; Lamiales; Orobanchaceae
Description: 5.8S ribosomal RNA
Rfam family: 5.8S ribosomal RNA
About the family: 5.8S ribosomal RNA (5.8S rRNA) is a component of the large subunit of the eukaryotic ribosome. It is transcribed by RNA polymerase I as part of the 45S precursor that also contains 18S and 28S rRNA. Functionally, it is thought that 5.8S rRNA may be involved in ribosome translocation.
Source: RNAcentral